RNAcentral lists this long non-coding RNA (1218 nucleotides) under Heterocephalus glaber (naked mole-rat). RNAcentral's name for it is "lncRNA (ENSHGLG00000033974.1)". Lineage: Eukaryota; Metazoa; Chordata; Mammalia; Rodentia; Bathyergidae. The record is from RNAcentral.
AAAAAGAAAACGGAGGAAGGGGCCACCAGCCAAGGAAUGAGGACAGCCUUCAGAACCUGGAAAAGUCUCCCACAGACCCCCCAAAAGGAGCACACCCCUCCCUGCAAUGGAUUCCAGCUCACUAGUGGGCCCACCGUUGGUCUCUGACCCAGCAGCACUAGAAGGCCUCCGUUUCUUGCCUAUAUUAUGGGAUGCAGGACGAGAUGACCUCCGAGACCACCCCUGGCCUUAACGUUCUGCAUGUCUGUGAUUGGGCCUCAGCGUUCAUCUUCCUCCUGGAUCUUUGAUUCAAUCGGGAUGAGUCAGGCACUGACAGCCGCCUUGGGCCCUGAGCGCCUGCUCGGAGAGCAGUGCCAGGGCCCAGAAGAUCAGCUCAGAUCCUUGCUGGGUCACAUGCGUGGGUGUCAGCACUUCCUGCCUAGACUUUUCCCUUUGACUCAUGCUUCUCUUGUGUUCGGGAUCCCUGUUCCUCAGCCUUGUUCAUCUGGAAAGGCCAGUGUACAGGUGCACGGGUGGAGAUCGGCCAAGGCAGGUGCGUGCACAGCUUCUCUCACUGGAGAGCAGGAAGAAGGCUGCUGAGGAGGUGGCACUUUACGUAUCUUCCUGAAGACAGCCGAGGAGGCCGCCCCGAGGAUCCUGCAGAACUGAGCUGCCGGAACCAGCCCACACGGCUCCCAGGACUCACCUGCGUCUCAGCUGUCAGAGGAGGAAGUGGGAGCCAAAGAAGGAGCAUGUGCCAAAAUAAUGAUAAGGAGUCGAAUACAGCAGCCACGGUGGCAAAUGCCUCUAAUCUCCCCGGUUCCGGAAGCUGAGGCAGGAGGAUCCAAGUUCCAACUUAGCAAGACCCUAUCUCAAGGGCAAUGAGAGCCUGCAUCUACACAGACCAGAGCAGCAGCAUUCAGCAGCGGGUGAGCAGUAGCCCAAGGGAGGCAGGGCGGUCCGCAGGGCCAGGACCAACACCCUGCAAAGCCUUACGGUGCAGACCGCGCUGCGACCAGGAGAGACUGCAGACAUCAUGUCUCGAAAUGGAUGCACCUCAGGAUAACUUGACUGAGGAAGAGAAGCCAGACCAAAUAAAGACAAGGAGAGCCGACAUGGCUGGGCACACCUGUAAUCGUAGCAUUCUGAGAGGCUGAGGCAGGAGGACUGCAAGUUUGAGCCCAAUCUGGGGAAUUCAGCGAUUUAGUGAGACCCUGUCUCAAAAUUUAAAACAUACAC